UAACGACUCUCGGCAACGGAUAUCUCGGCUCUCGCAUCGAUGAAGAACGUAGCGAAAUGCGAUACUUGGUGUGAAUUGCAGAAUCCCGUGAACCAUCGAGUCUUUGAACGCAAGUUGCGCCCUAAGCCGUCAGGCCGAGGGCACGUCUGCCUGGGUGUCACG
RNAcentral lists this ribosomal RNA (162 nucleotides) under Pentaceras australe. RNAcentral's name for it is "5.8S ribosomal RNA". It matches the Rfam family "5.8S ribosomal RNA". From Rfam's summary of the family: 5.8S ribosomal RNA (5.8S rRNA) is a component of the large subunit of the eukaryotic ribosome. It is transcribed by RNA polymerase I as part of the 45S precursor that also contains 18S and 28S rRNA. Functionally, it is thought that 5.8S rRNA may be involved in ribosome translocation. The record is from RNAcentral. Lineage: Eukaryota; Viridiplantae; Streptophyta; Magnoliopsida; Sapindales; Rutaceae.